RNAcentral lists this transfer RNA (84 nucleotides) under Candidatus Methanorudis spinitermitis. Its description in RNAcentral is "tRNA-Leu". It matches the Rfam family "tRNA". From Rfam's summary of the family: Transfer RNA (tRNA) molecules are approximately 80 nucleotides in length. The record is from RNAcentral. Lineage: Archaea; Methanobacteriati; Methanobacteriota; Methanobacteria; Methanobacteriales; Methanobacteriaceae.
GCAGGGAUGGUCGAGCGGUCAAAGGCGAUAGGUUGAGGGCCUAUUGGGUCAGUCCCUUCGCGGGUUCGAAUCCCGUUCCCUGCA